AAGUCUAAUCAGUACGAAAACUGUUUAGAGGCAAAAUUUUCAACUUCAGACGACUUUUAUCAGUUUAUCUCUAAUAAUUACUAAAUGUCACAAAGUUGAAAUGCUCUUUGUGAUAACUUCUUCCAAAAGUAUUUAUUUUGAUUGUUGACCAAAAAAGCAUCUAUGCCAAUUUCAUCCAUACACGAAAUGACACGUGUAUGGUGGAGACAACACCGAAUCUUUCUCGUCUCCUAUAAAUGCAGACAAUUCCCUUUGUUCAAGUCACAGCACAUAAAAGCAUCAGAAAAAGAAACAAAUUUGAAGUUUUAAAUCAAAGAGAAGUAAGAGAAGCAAUGGCAGGUUCUAACUGUGGAUGUGGUUCCGCUUGCAAAUGUGGUGACUCUUGCAGCUGCGAGAAGAACUACAACACGGAGUGCGACAACUGCAGCUGCGGGUCAAACUGUAGCUGUGGGGACAGCUGCAGCUGUUGAAGAAAUCGUGAUCUAACUCACAUAUAUGCAGGAAAUACUGGGGGAAUAUGUGUUUGAUGUUAAGAGAUAUGUGUGUGUUUGAAUAAAGAUUUGCGCGUUAUGUUGCCUAAUACCUCUCUUAAUCUUUGACUUUUCCUGCUUUAUAUCUUUAUAUGUGUGGUUGUGUAAUGUUUUCGUUUGUAACCUAAGAAAAAAAGAAAAAAUAUAUAACUAUUGAUUUUUGUGA
Long non-coding RNA from Raphanus sativus (radish), 696 nucleotides. RefSeq lists it as uncharacterized. The transcript is spliced from 2 exons. The record is from RefSeq and is a predicted model, not a curated record. NCBI's taxonomy places the organism in Eukaryota, Viridiplantae, Streptophyta, Magnoliopsida, Brassicales, Brassicaceae.